RNAcentral lists this ribosomal RNA (386 nucleotides) under uncultured bacterium. Its description in RNAcentral is "bacterial SSU rRNA". It matches the Rfam family "Bacterial small subunit ribosomal RNA", at positions 454 to 842 of the family's 1533-position model. The record is from RNAcentral.
GGAACGUGUUCCUUUUUGUAUGUACCAUAUGAAUAAGCAUCGGCUAACUCCGUGCCAGCAGCCGCGGUAAUACGGAGGAUGCGAGCGUUAUCCGGAUUUAUUGGGUUUAAAGGGUGCGUAGGUGGUUAAUUAAGUCAGCGGUGAAAGUUUGUGGCUCAACCAUAAAAUUGCCGUUGAAACUGGUUGACUUGAGUAUAUUUGAGGUAGGCGGAAUGCGUGGUGUAGCGGUGAAAUGCAUAGAUAUCACGCAGAACUCCGAUUGCGAAGGCAGCUUACUAAACUAUAACUGACACUGAAGCACGAAAGCGUGGGGAUCAAACAGGAUUAGAUACCCUGGUAGUCCACGCAGUAAAAGAUGAUUACUAGCUGUUUGCGAUACACAGUAA